GACGAACGCUGGCGGCGUGCCUAAUACAUGCAAGUAGAACGCACAGUUUAUACCGUAGCUUGCUACACCAUAGACUGUGAGUUGCGAACGGGUGAGUAACGCGUAGGUAACCUGCCUGGUAGCGGGGGAUAACUAUUGGAAACGAUAGCUAAUACCGCAUAAUAUUAAUUAUUGCAUGAUAAUUAAUUGAAAGGUGCAAUUGCACCACUACCAGAUGGACCUGCGUUGUAUUAGCUAGUAGGUGAGGUAACGGCUCACCUAGGCGACGAUACAUAGCCGACCUGGGGGGGUGGUCGGCCACACUGGGACUGGGACACGGCCCAGACUCCUACGGGGGGCAGCAGUAGGGAAUCUUCGGCAAUGGACGGAAGUCUGACCGAGCAACGCCGCGUGAGUGGAGAAGGUUUUCGGAUCGUAAAGCUCUGUUGUAAGGGAAGAACGGGUGUGAGAGUGGAAAGUUCACACUGUGACGGUAUCUUACCAGAAAGGGACGGCUAACUACGUG
Molecule: ribosomal RNA, 505 nt
Filed under: uncultured bacterium
Lineage: Bacteria
Description: partial 16S ribosomal RNA
Rfam family: Bacterial small subunit ribosomal RNA
Source: RNAcentral